CGUGGUUGUUUGGGGGGUUUCCCUUUGUACAAGAGGUGGGAUUCACGGCAGACUGAAUGAGUGGGUUCUCUUGGGAGUUCUGCAUCCAUGCACUGUGGAGGCGCGUUUUCUGGUAGGGGCCUGUGGGGUGCAGUGGUUGCGGCUCCGGCCUGGCCGAUGGGUGGGGGCUCUUGGGGUCAUGUGUCUCAGUGGCGUUGCAGUCGUUCCGUGUCAUUGCUUUUGUCCUUCUUGGGGCAUCGUCCAUUGGGGUUGUGGAGUGCUGGUCGGGUCCUGGUGUUCUGUUGCACCGUCUGGCGGGGCUCUUUUCCAGGUUGUGUGUCGGUGCUCUGCUUUCUUGAUGAUCGGUCUUGUGGCUGCUGGGGUCUUGUGCGUCUUUGCACAUGCGGGUGGUCUCGGGCGG
Molecule: long non-coding RNA, 400 nt
Filed under: Androctonus crassicauda
Lineage: Eukaryota; Metazoa; Arthropoda; Arachnida; Scorpiones; Buthidae
Source: RNAcentral